CGCAAAACCAAACCCAUCAGAAGUUUGCAGCACGUCCUUGUUUACAGCCGGGAAAUAAACCACGAAACAGCACAAAGGAGAGUCCAGGCCUGCCCGUGCUUCCGUGAACUCCUCACCCCGACCUCAUCCUUCCCUAGCUCCUACCUGUAGGCCUCAGGCCUCCUGACCUCCAGGCUCCUCACCCUCCAGCUGGCCUCUGCUCUACACCCAUCUUUGCGCCCUGCUUCCAAUCAUGCCAGGCCUCGGGGUCCCUGUCUCUAACUUCACCAUGAGACUCAGGUGCUUCUCUACACUCCACCCUCUCCAACACUGUUUGGAAUCUCAGGCUUGGUCCCAAUCCUAUGGGCUAACUUUGAAAAGACCGCUGUUCAUAAGGAGAGAGAAAGGAGGAAGAGAUGAGAAAGGAAGACAGAGAAAGAAACUCUAUGAUCAUGGUUUUUCCAAAAUUCAUGGUUAAAUUAGAACUUACUAUGUGCAAAUAUAG
RNAcentral lists this long non-coding RNA (484 nucleotides) under Pongo abelii (Sumatran orangutan). Its description in RNAcentral is "lincRNA". The record is from RNAcentral. Lineage: Eukaryota; Metazoa; Chordata; Mammalia; Primates; Hominidae.